Non-coding RNA from Flammeovirga sp. MY04, 119 nucleotides. The record is from Rfam. NCBI's taxonomy places the organism in Bacteria, Pseudomonadati, Bacteroidota, Cytophagia, Cytophagales, Flammeovirgaceae.
CAGUAGGUGCAAAUCCUACCUAAGUAAUUUACUGUUCACUUAGAAGAGUUACUGACAGUGAUCGCCGUGAGGUGGAUAGCUGAAGCUCAGUGAUCUCAAAUAACCAAGCCGUAAUACGC